RNAcentral lists this ribosomal RNA (497 nucleotides) under uncultured bacterium. Its description in RNAcentral is "partial 16S ribosomal RNA". It matches the Rfam family "Bacterial small subunit ribosomal RNA", at positions 28 to 507 of the family's 1533-position model. The record is from RNAcentral.
GAUGAACGCUGGCGGCGUGCCUAAUACAUGCAAGUCGAGCGAACAGACGAGGAGCUUGCUCCUCUGACGUUAGCGGCGGACGGGUGAGUAACACGUGGAUAACCUACCUAUAAGACUGGGAUAACUUCGGGAAACCGGAGCUAAUACCGGAUAAUAUAUUGAACCGCAUGGUUCAAUAGUGAAAGACGGUUUUGCUGUCACUUAUAGAUGGAUCCACGCCGCAUUAGCUAGUUGGUAAGGUAACGGCUUACCAAGGCAACGAUGCGUAGCCGACCUGAGAGGGUGAUCGGCCACCCUGGAACUGAGACACGGUCCAGACUCCUACGGGAGGCAGCAGUAGGGAAUCUUCCGCAAUGGGCGAAAGCCUGACGGAGCAACGCCGCGUGAGUGAUGAAGGUCUUCGGAUCGUAAAACUCUGUUAUUAGGGAAGAACAAAUGUGUAAGUAACUAUGCACGUCUUGACGGUACCUAAUCAGAAAGCCACGGCUAACUACGUG